This 320-nucleotide unclassified non-coding RNA is filed under the name Hevea brasiliensis (rubber tree). The record is from RNAcentral. Lineage: Eukaryota; Viridiplantae; Streptophyta; Magnoliopsida; Malpighiales; Euphorbiaceae.
GCGAUCUUGGUGGGACAAGGUGAGGAGCAGCAGAGGAUUGUAAUCCCUGUGAUUUACAUAAAUCACCCUCUCUUCAUGCACCUGCUUAAAGAAGCCGAGGAAGAGUAUGGUUUUGACCAGAAAGGCCUCAUCACUAUCCCUUGCCAUGUCGAGGAAUUUCGCAACGUUCAAGGGAUGAUCGACAAGGAAAAGCCCAAUCACGGCCACCACCAUGUUUUGUGCUUCAGGGUUUGAUUUUUAUCAUGUAACUGUGUAAAGUUUGUUCUCAAUUAAUCAUCCUUUUUCUUAUAUAUAUGUAUAUGUAUAUAUAUAUAUAUAAG